Molecule: long non-coding RNA, 2931 nt
Organism: Oryzias melastigma (Indian medaka)
Lineage: Eukaryota; Metazoa; Chordata; Actinopteri; Beloniformes; Adrianichthyidae
Exons: 2
Source: RefSeq, a predicted model, not a curated record
CACCCCCGCCUCCCCUUUGAGCACCCCUUCCAUCUCUGCCAUCUCCCCCGUCUCCCCCAUCUCCCCCUUCUUUCUCCAUCCAGGGGGCAGAGCCACCGAGGUGGCAGUUCUAACAAGCUGCCGGGGACCGCGCUGCUCAAAUGAGCCAAAUCAAAGGGAAAAGGGGGGCAGGAUAGGUAGUGCCAUGAACCUCCCGCGGAGAACAACCACUCUGAUGAAUAGACGAUGAAUUUGUGUUGCUUGACACGACAAACCCAAGGAUAACCCAGUGUUCACUCGACAUUUUUAUCUUGUAAUAACCAACAACCCCCAAAAAUAAUAGAAAUGACUGCAGCAAUGACCGGCCAGUAACGUGUGUAUUGUUUGUGGGACAGAUUUGAACAUUGGACAGUCAGAUGGAAAUGAAAUUUUGUUGUCGAUAGAAAGAAAUGUGAAGAUCGAGGUGUGAGUUCAUGUCCUCUUUGAUGAGAACACAGGAUGUUGGAACCACAAUUGUUCUGUUUUUGUUCAAGGCUUGAAUUUGAUUUUUUUUUUUACUUUAUUUAAUAGAUUUAUUGAUUAACUCAUUGGCAUUUCAAAUAAAACACAACACUCUCCUAUUACUUUAUGCUAAAUUGAUAUUCUUCCACAUCCUUCAUCCAUCUUGGGGCAUCUUUUCAUUGUUUAACAUCCAUGAUGAAAUUGGGUCGUUCCACUGCGACAGUCCCCUUAAAAAAGCGUAUUUAGGCUUCAGUCUGUCACCUCCUCAGCACACUUUCCAACACGUUAGUGACCAUGAAAAUCCCCACGCACAAACGCACGCUGGUGCAUAUACAUGUACCCUGUGCUUCAUUUAACACACACAGAGGCAGGGCAUCAUGGUAAAGCUGGAAAACAAGGAAGAGCACAGAAAUUGCAGAAGCUGGAGUUAUCAUUUCUGUUCUGAAAUGCUUGUGGCAUGAUAGAGGAACCAUUGAAAUUGUUCAUUCUAAGAGGGGGGAAAAGGAAAUGUUGAGUAUAAUAACGUGACUGAUAAUGCCUCCGUUUUAUUCUCCUAUUUCUGUGCAGUAUCACUGUUCUGAACAGAGAUUUCACCAUGAUUUUACAGUUUAUAAAAUGUAAUAGAUAUUGUUUGUUUCCUGGUGUUUUAGGUUUCCUGGAAGUUCAAGCAAUUACACGACGAAUAGUACUUCUUUUCUGGUAUAUCCAUUUAAGAGAACAAGAACAGUUCUAAUUUAUUUAGUCAUUUAAACCCACAAAUUUACUUUAACAAUAUUCUAUAACAGCUUUUCUUCUGCAGAGAGUUUUAGAAAGGUUGAUUUGACAUGCAUCCCAUUUCUCAUGUCACACAGUAAACUGUAUGGUUUACUGUGCAACGUCUGUGUCCAGCCAGUCCAGAGCUUCUGCAUUUCCACUGGGAUACAGACAGAUAUUUACCUGGCGGUCAGACUUACCUCCGCCCUCUUGCAUCAGCUCCAUCGUGUUGCCUGUGUCGCACCUCCAUGCAACGAGAAUGUUUUCCUGGAAAGAGCAACAUGUGACGACUUAUUCUGUCAUUAAAAAAAGCAAGAUAUCAUUUAUAACGGCCAAGAAAAACUGCUGCACUUUACGAACUGUGUUUGUGGACACAAUAAAAGCAGUUCUCCAGAAAGCCACUCAAACAUAGACUGAUUGGACAAAAGGGAUUGGAGAAAAUCUGGGCCACAGCAGAAUCCAGCCUGCCCCUCUGCUAACCUCCACUUAAACAACACAGCAGCCAUUUCCUCCUUCUCUCCCUGGAGCCCCUCGCCACUUGCUGAAGAACCAGUUUGGGCGGCUGCAGCACAGGUGCUGUGACAUCUGUCAUUUUUACCCCUCUAUAUAUAAUGUGUGAAAUCGCCACCUUAUCUCAGGUUUUCACGUUGUUGUUGUUAGCUGAGCAUAGAGCUUUUUCAUACACUGUAAAAUUAAUAUGUAUUUUAUUUGGUUUUUUUUUUAUCUUUUUAACAUAAUCUAAAAAAAAAACAAAUAUCAUUUUUAUUUGCUCAUGUAUUUUUACAUUUUUGUGACUUAAUUAGAAAACAAUCUUGGUACAGAAAUAAUUAUAAUAAAAAAAGAUCUUAAAAUAGCAAAAAUGAAUUUUGUUACUUCAGACAUAUUAUUAUUUAUUCAUUUUUAAUUCAAAAGGAUUCAAGAAUGUAAUGUCCCUUUUUUGUGCAAAUGCAUCUGGCAGGAAUCAGCUGACCUUGCUGGGUGAACUGAAAAGGAAAGAGGCUGUUUCGCUUUAGCUCUGGCCCGACUGCAGAAGUCAGAGCACUAAAUCCAUGGCAUGUCUGCAAAAUCAGGCGUGAUGGAAUGAUUAUAGUCCUGAACUAAACUGUAAAAGAAACAGGAAAACUUCUCCACUAUAUAGCUUUUGGAACCGUUGAAGUCAAAUGUAAAAAAAAUAAAAAGAUAGAAAAGAAUUUGCACAAUUUGAAUAUUCAAUUUUCUCAACAAAAAUAUUUUAAUGCAAGAUUCUAGCAGAACUAAAUGCAAUUGAAUAAUUGAAGGGUUGAUACUCAUAUAAUUAUAAUCAAGUAUUUUUGUAAUAUCUAUGUUCACAUAAAAAUUAGUGAUAAAAAUCUUUAGUUUUUGCAAUUGUCCCUGCAAAUGUUCCAUUUCAGGUUUAGGUUUUAAUAAACACAAGAGUUGGAUAUGACGUGCUGAUUCUUUUUUCUAUCUUUCUCCAUUUCUUAAUACAUUUAUAUUUGUUACAUCUUUGAAAAAAAAAAAAAAAGACUUCUUUUUCCUCAAAUCGACAUCUCACCUUUUUAUUUUCCUCAGCUGCUCUGACAGCCAUGAAUCUUGUCACUCAUGUUUUUCAUCAAGUCUCGUCCAUGGAGCGUGUGGUGACUCUUGGAUUUAGCCGCUGAAGCGAACGCAAUGGUCAGAAAGGGAGUCGCAAAGCAAGCUGAGGGGAGAAAAAAAAAA